AAGCUUAAGUGUUUUCCCAGUCCUCAAUUACCUGGCGGCCGCCGCUCUGCUCCCCAUGGCUCAGACGGUGCUCCGGCGAGGUUUGGCGCUGCCGCUCGCUGACAUGGAUCCGGAGCCCAAGGAGGAGGCGAACGAGAAGUGAUCCUCCGUGCUUCUCUCUUUAGCGGCAAAAAUUGGAGGCCUUAGGGCAAGGAUAUGGUAUUAAUAAUGAGGAAAAUGAGGUUUCCUUCUUUCCUUAAGAGGUGUUGGGCGGUAAAGCUAGAGGUUUAUUAAAAACUAAAGGCAGUAAAGUGGAAGAAUUGGGACAUUAAAUACCUAUAGGGAGAGUGGCAAAGAGCCUGGCAGUGCAAAAUAUAAUGUUGAUGCUGGUCAUGUAACUGGCAUGCUGUGCAAAACUGAUUGGAUUCCUCACCAGUCCUGCUAUCAGUUGUUGGCUAUGUAUGUUGAAAGUCAACGUCAUGCUUGAAAUUUGAGAUGCUGCUUGUUCUACAAAGCUACUCUAGGUGUUGCUUACCUGCAUAACAAUAAAUACAUACAGAUUUGUAACUCCUACAAUUCAAAGUUUUGAACAGCAUGUUAAAGCUUUUAGAUCGAGACUAUUUUGGUCGGAGUGAGGCUUUGACGUGCUUGGUCCUGCACCUCAUGUGGUCCCUUUAAUUCAAUAAAAGGUUGUUACGAUUGGAUAUCAUCUCAUCAACUAACAUUCUUCUAUUAAUCUAUUAAGCUGCUAAGAGGUUACUGGUGAUUACAUGUCCUCAGUCACUAUAUGGUGGUUUGAUGGGAGGGAAAAAACUUACUACCAUCCACCAUCCUUUUGAUACAAGUGAUCACAGACUGCGGAAUCUUUUAAGCUCAAAGUUCCUAGUAUGUAAUCUUUCACCUUCAAAUAAAAAAAUAAUGCUGCAUAUAGUGUGACAAAGUCAUUAGUCUGAAAGAUUUCUCUGUAAAGUGUGUAGUUACUCUGAAAUAUCCAGGGCUUUCUUAUGUGUCGUCUUCUACUAUUGGGUUUGGAGAUGUUGGCUUCGACUACAACUACUUUUCUACAUAAGUUCUGGGAGUUUGACAUUUUGUCAUGUUGGACUGCUAGUUUACUUCAAUUGCUUUAUGGUUAAGCAUGCAAUCUUAAUAAAGCAAAAGAAAAAUGUGAGUAUUAUGGGAGAUAGGUCUGAAGGUCGACACAAUAAUAAAGCAAAAUAGAAAGAAUUUGAGAUUAGAUUUCUUGUUGUGACAGUAGUGGAUAGGUCCAACUUGUAAUUUAGUUUGAAACACAAUGAUUCCAGCUCGGAUCUUGUUAAUUUUUUGCCUUAAUGCGUAUGUCGACAUCUAUUUCUGCAUUUCUAUUGCACCAUACAUGUUACUGUCAUGCUACCAAUCAAUGAUAUAAACUUUGUUGAAUAGUAGUUGGUGACGGGCAGCUGGGAUUUGGUUGUUGUAGAAUGGUAGGGUAAUGCAUAGGCCUGUUGCAGUUAGCUAGCAAGUUAGAUAAGCUGAUAUGCUCGACUCCUCAGCUUUAUAAAUUCGCUCAGGGCAGAGCAGCCUCAAAGCUAUACAUCAUCACCCUUCCUUGUUUGCCUGCCUUCUUCCUUUGUGGUUUUUUUUUUUUUGUGGUAGAAGAUCAAGAUGAGACCUGGUGGUCCCGGAGGACCUGGUGGUCCAGGAGGACCUGGCUGGCUUCCUCUGCCUGGGGGCCCUCCAGGUUGGGGCCCUGGACCCGGGGGACCGUUCGGGGGACCUGGCUGUUGUGGCCUCCUAGGCUCAUGCUUUUACUUCCUUUGCUGUUGCUGCUUGCUUCAAGAGUGCUGUGGGCCCUUGUUCGGUGGGCGUCCAGGCCCCCCUGGACCACCCUUUUAGUCUAAGCUGUCCAACCAGAUAGAAGGCACACAGAUAAAGAAAUAAUUAGAUGUAGACAGUGAACUGCUUAGAGCUAUCUAUGUACUUGAUCCUAUUUGGACCACUGUCUUAUUUUGGUAUCCCUCAUCCUGAAUGGUAUGCCGUAGUCUACUGCCAUGUAGAUUGUCUCAUGUCAGAUUAGCUGUCAUGAAUGAAAGAAAUCCAACCUUUGUUGGGGAGCUUUUGCUUCCUUCUCAAUAAUAUUGGAAGGUUCAUCGUUUGACAUCUGAA
Molecule: long non-coding RNA, 2121 nt
Organism: Phoenix dactylifera (date palm)
Lineage: Eukaryota; Viridiplantae; Streptophyta; Magnoliopsida; Arecales; Arecaceae
Source: RefSeq, a predicted model, not a curated record